AACGAACGCUGGCGGCAGGCUUAACACAUGCAAGUCGAGCGCGGUCUUUCGGGACUGAGCGGCGGACGGGUGAGUAACGCGUGGGAACGUGCCCUUUGGUUCGGAAUAGCCCUGGGAAACUGGGAGUAAUGCCGAAUAAGCUCUACGGAGGAAAGAUUUAUUGCCAAAAGGAUUGGCCCGCGUCCGAUUAGCUAGUUGGUGAGGUAAUGGCUCACCAAGGCGACGAUCGGUAGCUGGUCUGAGAGGAUGAUCAGCCACACUGGGACUGAGACACGGCCCAGACUCCUACGGGAGCUG
Molecule: ribosomal RNA, 297 nt
Filed under: uncultured Pseudomonadota bacterium
Lineage: Bacteria; Pseudomonadati; Pseudomonadota
Description: uncultured proteobacterium partial 16S ribosomal RNA
Rfam family: Bacterial small subunit ribosomal RNA
Source: RNAcentral